Gadus macrocephalus (Pacific cod) is the source of this 346-nucleotide long non-coding RNA. RefSeq lists it as uncharacterized. The transcript has 3 exons. The record is from RefSeq and is a predicted model, not a curated record. NCBI's taxonomy places the organism in Eukaryota, Metazoa, Chordata, Actinopteri, Gadiformes, Gadidae.
AGUAGCCCGCCUCGCCUGGUGAGCAGGGAGGCUAGUUAUACUAGUUACACUAUCUAGUAGAAGAGUUAUACUAGUAUAGUUACACUGUCUAGAAGGAUAGUUAUACCAUCUAGCAGGCUAUUACACUAUCUAGUAGUAUAGUUAUAGUAGUAUAGUUAUACUAUCUAGUAGUCUAGUUAUAGUAGUAUUGUUAUAGUAGUAUAGUUAUACUAUCUAGAAAUAUAGUUAUAGUGGUAUAGUUAUACUAGUAUAUAGUAUUGUUAUACCAUCUAGUAGUCUAGUUAUAGUAGUAUUGUUAUACCAUCUAGUAGUCUAGUUAUAGUAGUAUUGUUAUACCAUCUAGUAG